GCAGUAGCCGCGGGAAUACGAAGGGGGCUAGCGUUGUUCGGAAUCACUGGGCGUAAAGGGUGCGUAGGCGGAUUCUUAAGUCAGGGGUGAAAUCCCGAGGCUCAACCUCGGAACUGCCUUUGAUACUGGGGAUCUUGAGUCCGGAAGAGGUGAGUGGAACUGCGAGUGUAGAGGUGAAAUUCGUAGAUAUUCGCAAGAACACUAGUGGCGAAGGCGGCUCACUGGUCCGGAACUGACGCUGAGGCACGACAGCGUGGGGAGCAAACAGGAUUAGAUACCCCCGUAGUCCCUGUCUCUUAUAC
RNAcentral lists this ribosomal RNA (302 nucleotides) under uncultured bacterium. RNAcentral describes it as "partial 16S ribosomal RNA". It matches the Rfam family "Bacterial small subunit ribosomal RNA", at positions 508 to 807 of the family's 1533-position model. The record is from RNAcentral.